This 93-nucleotide transfer RNA is filed under the name Streptomyces sp. NEAU-H22. RNAcentral's name for it is "tRNA-OTHER". It matches the Rfam family "tRNA". From Rfam's summary of the family: Transfer RNA (tRNA) molecules are approximately 80 nucleotides in length. Their secondary structure includes four short double-helical elements and three loops (D, anti-codon, and T loops). Lineage: Bacteria; Bacillati; Actinomycetota; Actinomycetes; Kitasatosporales; Streptomycetaceae. The record is from RNAcentral. RNAcentral also lists the same sequence under 1 other name.
GGAGAGGUGCCCGGAGCGGCUCAACGGGGACCAGAGAGCGAUCUCUCGGUCGGGCCCACAAAGCCCACGCAGGUUCGAAUCCUGCCCUCUCCG